UACGGCGAGUGAAGCGGCAACAGCUCAAAUUUGAAAUCUGGAGCCUUUGGCUUCCGAGUUGUAAUUUGCAGAGGGAGCCUCGGAGGGCGAGACGGUCCAAGUGCCUUGGAACAGGAUACCGCAGAGGGUGAGAGUCCCGUAUCCGGCCGAUCUUGCGCUCCGUGUGAGGCCCCUUCGACGAGUCGAGUUGUUUGGGAAUGCAGCUCCAAGCGGGUGGUAAAUUCCAUCUAAAGCUAAAUACUGGCCAGAGACCGAUAGCGAACAAGUAGAGUGAUCGAAAGAUGAAAAGCACUUUGAAAAGAGAGUCAAACAGUACGUGAAAUUGUUGAAAGGGAAGCGCAUGGGGGCAGACUUGGACGCGGGGUUCAGCGUUUCUAUUGGAGCGUGUACUUCCCCGCGUGCAGGCCAGCAUCGGUUCCGGGGGCCGGACAAAGAGGUUGGGAAUGUGGCUCCCCUCGGGGAGUGUUAUAGCCCGGCGUGCAAUGCGGCCACCUGGGACCGAGGACCGCGCCUUGUGCAAGGAUGCUGGCGUAAUGGCCUCAUGCGGCCCGUCUUGAAACACGGACCAAGGAGUCUAACAUCUAUGCGAGUGUUUGGGUGGCAAGCCCGGACGCGCAAUGAAAGUGAACGGAGGUGGGAGUCUGUCAAAGGACGCACCAUCGACCGAUCCGGACGUCUUCUGAAGGAUUUGAGUAAGAGCAUAGCUGUUGGGACCCGAAAGAUGGUGAACUAUGCGUGAAUAGGGUGAAGCCAGAGGAAACUCUGGUGGAGGCUCGCAGCGGUUCUGACGUGCAAAUCGAUCGUCAAAUUUGCGUAUAGGGGCGAAAGACUAAUCGAACCAUCUAGUAGCUGGUUCCUGCCGAAGUUUCCCUCAGGAUAGCAGUAACGCAUGGCAGUUUUAUGAGGUAAAGCGAACGAUUAGGGAGCUAGGGGUUGAAACAACCUUUAUCCAUUCUCGAACUUUAAAUAUGUAAGAAGUCCUUGUUGCUUUGUUGAACGUGGACACUCGAAUGCGGCGUUACUAGUGGGCCAUUUUUGGUAAGCAGAACUGGCGAUGCGGGAUGAACCGAACGUGGGGUUAAGGUGCCGGAAUGCACGCUCAUCAGACACCACAAAAGGUGUUGGUUCAUCCAGACAGCAGGACGGUGGCCAUGGAAGUCGGAAUCCGCUAAGGAGUGUGUAACAACUCACCUGCCGAAUGAACCAGCCCUGAAAAUGGAUGGCGCUCAAGCGUGCUACCCAUACCCCACCGUCUGCGUUUUUUGUUAGGCGCAGACGAGUAGGCAGGCGUGGAGGUUUU
This 1300-nucleotide ribosomal RNA is filed under the name Scolecobasidium sp. KH00283. Its description in RNAcentral is "eukaryotic LSU rRNA". It matches the Rfam family "Eukaryotic large subunit ribosomal RNA", at positions 85 to 1401 of the family's 3401-position model. The record is from RNAcentral. Lineage: Eukaryota; Fungi; Ascomycota; Dothideomycetes; Venturiales; Sympoventuriaceae.